RNAcentral lists this ribosomal RNA (252 nucleotides) under uncultured prokaryote. Its description in RNAcentral is "partial 16S ribosomal RNA". It matches the Rfam family "Bacterial small subunit ribosomal RNA", at positions 525 to 775 of the family's 1533-position model. The record is from RNAcentral.
ACGUAGGAGGCGAGCGUUAUCCGGAUUUACUGGGUGUAAAGCGCGUGCAGGCGGUUUAGCAAGUCGUGCGUGAAAGCGCCCAGGCUUAACCGGGCGAGGACAAUGAAGACUGGUCAGCUAGAGGACGGUAGAGGGGUGUGGAAUUCCGGGUGUAGUGGUGAAAUGCGUAGAGAUCCGGAGGAACACCAGAGGCGAAGGCGGCACCCUGGACGACACCAGACGCUGAGACGCGACAGCACGGGGAGCGAACGG